CAACCUACCUUAAUCAGGGGAUAGCCCGAAGAAAUUCGGAUUAACACCGCAUAAAAUCACAGAAUAGCAUUAUUCAAUGAUCAAAUAUUUAUAGGAUUAAGAUGGGCAUGCGUGUCAUUAGCUAGUUGGCGGGGUAACGGCCCACCAAGGCGACGAUGACUAGGGGAUCUGAGAGGAUGACCCCCCACACUGGUACUGAGACACGGACCAGACUCCUACGGGAGGCAGCAGUAAGGAAUAUUGGUCAAUGGAGGCAACUCUGAACCAGCCAUGCCGCGUGCAGGAAGACUGCCCUAUGGGUUGUAAACUGCUUUUAUCUGGGAAUAAACCUAUUUACGUGUAAAUAGCUGAAUGUACCAGAAGAAUAAGGAUCGGCUAACUCCGUGCCAGCAGCCGCGGUAAUACGGAGGAUCCAAGCGUUAUCCGGAUUUAUUGGGUUUAAAGGGUGCGUAGGCGGCCUGUUAAGUCAGAGGUGAAAGACGGUAGCUCAACUAUCGCAGUGCCUUUGAUACUGAUGGGCUUGAAUGGACUAGAGGUAGGCGGAAUGAGACAAGUAGCGGUGAAAUGCAUAGAUAUGUCUCAGAACACCGAUUGCGAAGGCAGCUUACUAUGGUUUUAUUGACGCUGAGGCACGAAAGCGUGGGGAUCAAAC
This 652-nucleotide ribosomal RNA is filed under the name uncultured bacterium. RNAcentral's name for it is "bacterial SSU rRNA". It matches the Rfam family "Bacterial small subunit ribosomal RNA", at positions 122 to 773 of the family's 1533-position model. The record is from RNAcentral.